RNAcentral lists this ribosomal RNA (332 nucleotides) under uncultured bacterium. RNAcentral describes it as "bacterial SSU rRNA". It matches the Rfam family "Bacterial small subunit ribosomal RNA", at positions 568 to 898 of the family's 1533-position model. The record is from RNAcentral.
CGCGUAGGCGGGCGGUCAAGUCGGGGGUGAAAUCUUUCAGCUCAACUGGAAAAAGUGCCUCCGAUACUGACUGUCUUGAGGGAGGUAGGGGCAUGUGGAACUUCCGGUGGAGCGGUGAAAUGCGUAGAUAUCGGAAGGAACGCCGGUGGCGAAAGCGACGUGCUGGACCUCUUCUGACGCUGAGGCGCGAAAGCUAGGGGAGCGAACGGGAUUAGAUACCCCGGUAGUCCUAGCCCUAAACGAUGGGUACUAGAUUGUGGACUUGACAUGGGUUCACAGUCGAAGCGAAAGUCUUAAGUACCCCGCCUGGGGAGUAUGGUCGCAAGGCUGAA